This 481-nucleotide ribosomal RNA is filed under the name uncultured bacterium. RNAcentral's name for it is "partial 16S ribosomal RNA". It matches the Rfam family "Bacterial small subunit ribosomal RNA", at positions 29 to 507 of the family's 1533-position model. The record is from RNAcentral.
ACGAACGCUGGCGGCGUGCUUAACACAUGCAAGUCGAACGCUGAAGCUCAGCUUGCUGGGUGGAUGAGUGGCGAACGGGUGAGUAACACGUGAGUAACCUGCCCUCUUCUUUGGGAUAACGCCCGGAAACGGGUGCUAAUACUGGAUAUUCACUGAUUCUCGCAUGGGGGGUGGUGGAAAGGUUUUUUCUGGUGGGGGAUGGGCUCGCGGCCUAUCAGCUUGUUGGUGGGGUGAUGGCCUACCAAGGCUUUGACGGGUAGCCGGCCUGAGAGGGUGACCGGUCACAUUGGGACUGAGAUACGGCCCAGACUCCUACGGGAGGCAGCAGUGGGGAAUAUUGCACAAUGGGCGAAAGCCUGAUGCAGCGACGCCGCGUGAGGGAUGGAGGCCUUCGGGUUGUAAACCUCUUUCGCUCAUGGUCAAGCCGCAGCUUUGGGUUGUGGUGAGGGUAGUGGGUAAAGAAGCGCCGGCUAACUACGUG